RNAcentral lists this ribosomal RNA (508 nucleotides) under uncultured bacterium. RNAcentral describes it as "partial 16S ribosomal RNA". It matches the Rfam family "Bacterial small subunit ribosomal RNA", at positions 28 to 507 of the family's 1533-position model. The record is from RNAcentral.
GACGAACGCUGGCGGCGUGCCUAAUACAUGCAAGUCGAACGCUUCUUUCCUCCCGAGUGCUUGCACUCAAUUGGAGAGAGGAGUGGCGGACGGGUGAGUAACACGUGGGUAACCUACCCAUCAGAGGGGGAUAACACUUGGAAACAGGUGCUAAUACCGCAUAACAGUUUAUGCCGCAUGGCAUAAGAGUGAAAGGCGCUUUCGGGUGUCGCUGAUGGAUGGACCCGCGGUGCAUUAGCUAGUUGGUGAGGUAACGGCUCACCAAGGCCACGAUGCAUAGCCGACCUGAGAGGGUGAUCGGCCACACUGGGACUGAGACACGGCCCAGACUCCUACGGGAGGCAGCAGUAGGGAAUCUUCGGCAAUGGACGAAAGUCUGACCGAGCAACGCCGCGUGAGUGAAGAAGGUUUUCGGAUCGUAAAACUCUGUUGUUAGAGAAGAACAAGGACGUUAGUAACUGAACGUCCCCUGACGGUAUCUAACCAGAAAGCCACGGCUAACUACGUG